Molecule: long non-coding RNA, 4373 nt
Filed under: Salvia miltiorrhiza (redroot sage)
Lineage: Eukaryota; Viridiplantae; Streptophyta; Magnoliopsida; Lamiales; Lamiaceae
Description: long non-coding RNA (SMIL_LNC007130)
Source: RNAcentral
UAGUCCAGUGAAUCAGAAACACAACUGAAGCAUUCAGAUUAGAGAGAGAUUGAAACCUCUUGUUCAUGUCGACAUCAGCUUUCUUACAGACAAUGUUGGCGAAACGGCGGCCGAUACCCUUGAUCGAGGUCAUGGCGAACAUGAUCUUCUGCUUGCCAUCGACAUUAGUGUUCUGCACACGCAGAAUGUGCUGAAAAUCCUCGUUUGCAACAAGUGACUGCAAAGUAAACAGUUAGUACAAACAAAAUAUCAAAGAAUCAGAAAUCGGUGAACAACAUAUCGUAGAAAUCAGACAGAACUACGGCGAAUUUAAGGAGAAAAAUAUAACGUACAAAUCAGACGAAAUUACGGCGAAUUUUAGGAGAAGAAUAUAUCGUACAAAUCAUGGCAGCGAAGACGUACCAUUGCUCUAGGCGACUAGGAUUCUCGGUGUCUCUCGGUGCCGACCAAACUCUGAUGAAGAAGUUCAAGAACCCUAAUUAGAAACAUCACAUAUCCUUAUUUAUAAGAACCCUAAUCCCAUAUGACGGGCUGGACAUUGGGCUUUAAAUAAUUGGGCCGAAACUUUUGCCAUGUUUAAAAAAUAGGAAAGGGAUAAAUUUUAACCAAAUUCUUUGAUUUCUUAGAUGCAUGUGAAAACAAUAAAAAAUUGAGUGAUUAUGAAUUAAUAUUAAGGAGUACAAAAGGGUACGUAUGAAGAAUAUUGGAGGGGGUGUUUACUUUGGAGAAUUAGUCUUGAUUAAUAAUAAUAGUAAAAUUAAAUUUUUAUUUACUUUGAUGAAUUGUAACUUUGAGAUAUUUCAAAGUCUUUGAUGAAAGAAUGAGAUUGAAGAUAUUCUACUCUUAAGAAUAAAAAUACUCAAUCACACAUAUCUUACUAAAGGGAUGUUUAUUUUGCAUGAUUAAUUAUAUGCAAAACUAGUUUGAAUGAGAUAGAAGUUAUCGAGAGCCUUGAGAUAUCCCAACAUUGCAAUCCAUCAAAAUAAACAAUGAUUAACCUUACUAUUUGUAUUUAUCAAGAUUAGUCCUCCAAAGUAAACACCCCCUAAUUAUAUGAAAAUAUUGGUCCAAUAGUAAAAUUAAUAUUUGAGUAUUAAAAUUUUAAAAUUUAGAAUUUCAACAUUACAUGAUUUUUAUUUAUUCGUUCACAAAACAAAACAAUAAAAGAAAAAAUCGAACAUUAAAAUGAUUUUUAGUGCAAUUUUGUUAUAAUUUGAUUCUAACUCACGGUCAUCCGCAUUAUUGUCGAGGUCUUCAGGUCACCUUGCGGCUUCCGAUUAUGGUCCAUUGGAUUUCUUUUUAUUUUCUAAUUAAGAAAAAAUUAAAAUGACGUCGUUUUAACCUAUAAGCUUGCCAUCAUUUUAAUUUUGUCAUGCUAGUUUUCUCAUUUGGGGAAUUAAAAUUUAUGAGAAAAUUUAAAAAUUCUCAAGGUAUAUGAAUUUUGGCACCAAUUUCAUAGUAUCUGGAAAAAUCAAAAUUUGACUAUAAUGUAUGAAUUUACAGCCAAUUAAUCCUAUUUUAAAUACCCUAAAUACUAAAAAGGUGACGCGAUAACAAAGUAUUUAAAAGUGAAACUUAUGUACUUCACCUUUGAACCAAUUUAAAUUUUAUAAGUUGUAAGGCUAAAGUUUCAUGGGUCGUAUAAAAAACAACUCAAUCGUUUAAAACUUAAGGAUCAAGUAGCAAAUCUACCCCUAACGUUUAUAACAAAAAGUCAAUAGGUCUUUAACGUUAUGUUUUAUGCAAAUAAGUCCCUAAUGUUUACAAAUUUUUAACAAAUUUGUGAGUCUAUUGGUAAGACGAUGAAGCGCAGUCUGUUGGUAAGACGCUUCUCCUCCAACCAAUAGGUCGGGGGCUCGAGUCCAUAAAUGAGAAUAUGCACUCAUAUAGCAAUAUUGAGGAUUUGAACUCAAUAUUUGGCCCUCCAUCUUAAAAACACAAAUUUUGGUCAUUUUUUUACUGUAUUGCCCUUAAUUUGUGCGGACCGAAUUUGGCACAAAUUAUAACAUUAAUGUCAAAAGUUCCAAUUUAUUUAGUAAUUUUUUGUUUUGCUUUCCGUUGGUACUUUUGAUACAAAAUAAAAACAUUAGUGCCAAAAGUACCACCUAAACCCAUGCGCCCAAUCCGAAUCGAUACGCCCAAAUCAAGGGCAAUACAUUUUGAAAUUACNUCCUAUUCAGAAACCAGUCUGGGAUCUUGAAUUGGCGGGGAUUUGCCACAAUCACCAUCAAGCUAUCUAACUCAGCAGCAGAAAGCUCACCAGCCCUGUCCAAAUUAUAUCAAAUGCGUUUACACAGAUUCCAAAUAGAGCAACAUCGCCAACCUAAUCAGAUAUCGGGAGUAACUCAUAUAUAUAACAGUAAAAACUUCAAUACGUACAGGCAACAAACAUGCAGAUAGAAGAGAUCUACAUGACUUUGUAUGAAUCCAAUUCAGCAUGACUUGUAUAUAAAUCAUAAUUAAUUACCUGUUACAAUAAUUAAAAAUAUUACUCCCUCCGUCCACGAAAAAGUGCCCCAUUUGGGUGCUGGCACGGGUUUUAAGAAAGCUGAAAAAGGUGGUGUAAAGGUGGUGUAAAAGACUAAAAGGGUAGUGUUAAUGUAUUGUGGUUACUUUUACUAAUCUUGCACUAACUAUUUGGCAUUAUUUUAUUAGGUGAAAAUUCAGAAAAUAAAUAUAUAAAUAAAAUGGAAAUAAAUAAAUAAACUGGAAAUAAAUAAAUAAAUAAAUAAGUAAAUAAACUAGAUAAAAAAAUAGGAAAAUAAAUAAACUAGAAAAUUACAAAAAUCAGUAAAUAAAUAAAUAGAAAUUCGAAAAUAAAUAAAUAAAUAAAACUAAAAAAAUGGAAAAAAAAUAAAUAAAUAAACUGGAAAUAAAAAAAAUAAAUAAAUAAAUAAAUAAACUGGAAAUAAAUAAACUAAAAAUUCAAAAAAAAAAAAACAAACUGAAAAUUCGAAAAUAAAUAAAUAAAUAAAUAAACUGAAAAUAAAUUAACUGAAAAUCAGAAAAAAAAUAAAUAAAUAAACUGGAAAAUAAAUAAACUGAAAAUUCGAAAAUAAAUAAAUAAAUAAACUGAAAUUCAAAAAUAAAUAAACUUGAAAUUCAGAAAAUAAAUAAAUAAAUAAACUGAAAAUUCAAAAAUAAAUAAAUAAAUAAACUUGAAAUUCAGAAAAUAAAUAAAUAAAUAAACUGGAAAAUAAAUAAAAUAAAUAAAUAAAUAAACUGAAAAUUCAGAAAAUAAAUAAAUAAACUGGAAAUAAAUAAAUAAAUAAAUAAAUAAAUAAACUGGAAAUAAAUAAACUAAAAAUUCAAAAAUAAAUAAAUAAAUAAACUUGAAUUCAGAAAAUAAAUAAAUAAAUAAACUGAAAAUUAAGAAAAUAAAUAAAUAAACUGAAAAUUAAGAAAAUAAAUAAAUAAAUGGGAUUAAUUGUGUGGGUUAAUUGCAUAGAUUAAAUAAAAGUGUGGAUUUAUUAAUGACAUAAGUUGUAAAUAAAUUGAAAAGUAAAGGGUAUGAAUGUACAAAAAGGUAAACAGGGCACUUUUUCGUGGACAAAAAAAAAUGGGUAAGUAGGGCACUUUUUCGUGGACAGAGGGAGUACAAUAAAUUAUCAUGUGUAUUUUGAUUUCCAUUAAAGAUAUUUUUGAAUUUUGAACCAUCUAGGUCAAUGGUCCGGACCAAAAACUAAGUCCUCCCAAUGGUAGAAACGAUUCUUAUAAUGCAGUUCAUUGUAAAUAAAAUUCCCUCUAUUUGGGAUUUCAGAUUUUACAAGCAUUUUUCCCCUCUGCUAUACAAUUGCCACAAAUAUGAAAUUGUGUGCUCAAGCUUAGGUGCUGCUCGACAGCAGAGUUCUAUUUCAUAUUUCAAUUAAUAGAAUAGAUGGAAAAAAAUUGCUAUGUUGGAAUGCAACUGUAACCUUAGCCCUCCCACAGCUACAGAAGGUGAUUAGAAAAUUCAAAGAUACAGGAGAUUCAGUUCAAAGUGAUGACUUUCACUUAUAAACCAGAUAUAUAAGCAUCCUAUUUCAGUGCUGUAAGCACACAGACAUUAAUCAUCAAAAAUUUCGAAGUAAAAUCAAGUUGAACAGAACAAGAGACCUAUAAUAAAGAAGAGUAUAAAUACUGCAAAAACUAACACGUCUAACACUGUUAGUCCAGUAGUCCAGUGAAUCAGAAACACAACUGAAGCAUUCAGAUUAGAGAGAGAUUGAAACCUCUUGUUCAUGUCGACAUCAGCUUUCUUACAGACAAUGUUGGCGAAACGGCGGCCGAUACCCUUGAUCGAGGUCAUGGCGAACAUGAUCUUCUGCUUGCCAUCGACAUUAGUGUUCUGCACACGCAGAAUGUGCUGAAAAUCCUCGUUUGCAACAAGUGAC